This 1448-nucleotide ribosomal RNA is filed under the name uncultured organism. RNAcentral describes it as "SSU rRNA". It matches the Rfam family "Bacterial small subunit ribosomal RNA". The record is from RNAcentral.
AACGCUAGCUACAGGCUUAACACAUGCAAGUCGAGGGGCAGCAUGGUCUUAGCUUGCUAAGGCCGAUGGCGACCGGCGCACGGGUGAGUAACACGUAUCCAACCUGCCGUCUACUCUUGGACAGCCUUCUGAAAGGAAGAUUAAUACAAGAUGGCAUCAUGAGUCCGCAUGUUCACAUGAUUAAAGGUAUUCCGGUAGACGAUGGGGAUGCGUUCCAUUAGAUAGUAGGCGGGGUAACGGCCCACCUAGUCUUCGAUGGAUAGGGGUUCUGAGAGGAAGGUCCCCCACAUUGGAACUGAGACACGGUCCAAACUCCUACGGGAGGCAGCAGUGAGGAAUAUUGGUCAAUGGGCGAGAGCCUGAACCAGCCAAGUAGCGUGAAGGAUGACUGCCCUAUGGGUUGUAAACUUCUUUUAUAAAGGAAUAAAGUCGGGUAUGGAUACCCGUUUGCAUGUACUUUAUGAAUAAGGAUCGGCUAACUCCGUGCCAGCAGCCGCGGUAAUACGGAGGAUCCGAGCGUUAUCCGGAUUUAUUGGGUUUAAAGGGAGCGUAGAUGGAUGUUUAAGUCAGUUGUGAAAGUUUGCGGCUCAACCGUAAAAUUGCAGUUGAUACUGGAUAUCUUGAGUGCAGUUGAGGCAGGCGGAAUUCGUGGUGUAGCGGUGAAAUGCUUAGAUAUCACGAAGAACUCCGAUUGCGAAGGCAGCCUGCUAAGCUGCAACUGACAUUGAGGCUCGAAAGUGUGGGUAUCAAACAGGAUUAGAUACCCUGGUAGUCCACACGGUAAACGAUGAAUACUCGCUGUUUGCGAUAUACUGCAAGCGGCCAAGCGAAAGCGUUAAGUAUUCCACCUGGGGAGUACGCCGGCAACGGUGAAACUCAAAGGAAUUGACGGGGGCCCGCACAAGCGGAGGAACAUGUGGUUUAAUUCGAUGAUACGCGAGGAACCUUACCCGGGCUUAAAUUGCAGAUGAAUUACGGUGAAAGCCGUAAGCCGCAAGGCAUCUGUGAAGGUGCUGCAUGGUUGUCGUCAGCUCGUGCCGUGAGGUGUCGGCUUAAGUGCCAUAACGAGCGCAACCCUUGUUGUCAGUUACUAACAGGUUCCGCUGAGGACUCUGACAAGACUGCCAUCGUAAGAUGUGAGGAAGGUGGGGAUGACGUCAAAUCAGCACGGCCCUUACGUCCGGGGCUACACACGUGUUACAAUGGGGGGUACAGAGGGCCGCUACCACGCGAGUGGAUGCCAAUCCCCAAAACCUCUCUCAGUUCGGACUGGAGUCUGCAACCCGACUCUACGAAGCUGGAUUCGCUAGUAAUCGCGCAUCAGCCACGGCGCGGUGAAUACGUUCCCGGGCCUUGUACACACCGCCCGUCAAGCCAUGGGAGCCGGGGGUACCUGAAGUGCGUAACCGCGAGGAGCGCCCUAGGGUAAAACUGGUGACUGGGGCUAA